GUGAGUAAUGCUUGGGAAUAUGCCUUAGGGAGGGGGACAACAGUUGGAAACGACUGCUAAUACCGCAUAAUGUCUUCGGACCAGUGGGGGACCUUCGGCCUCCCGCCAUAAGAUUAGCCCAAGUGGGAUUAGCUAGUUGGUGAGGUAACGGCUCACCAAGGCGACGAUCCCUAGCUGGUUUGAGAGGAUGAUCAGCCACACUGGGACUGAGACACGGCCCAAACUCCUACGGGAGGCAGCAGUGGGGAAUAUUGCACAAUGGGGGAAAGCCUGAUGCAGCCAUGCCGCGUGUGUGAAGAAGGCCUUCGGGUUGUAAAGCACUUUCAGUUAUGAGGAAAGGUUAAGUAGUUAAUACCAGUUAGCCGUGACGUUACUUACAGAAGAAGCACCGGCUAACUCCGUGCCAGCAGCCGCGGUAAUACGGAGGGUGCGAGCGUUAAUCGGAAUUACUGGGCGUAAAGCGCACGCAGGCGGUUUGUUAAGCGAGAUGUGAAAGCCCCGGGCUCAACCUGGGAUGUGCAUUUAGAACUGGCAAACUAUAGUGUGGGAGAGGGUGGUAGAAUUCCAGGUGUAGCGGUGAAAUGCGUAUAUAUCUGAGGGAAUACCGAUGGCGAAUGCAGCCACCUGGGUCAACACUGACGCUCAUGUACGAAAGCGUGGG
Molecule: ribosomal RNA, 661 nt
Filed under: Pseudoalteromonas shioyasakiensis
Lineage: Bacteria; Pseudomonadati; Pseudomonadota; Gammaproteobacteria; Alteromonadales; Pseudoalteromonadaceae
Description: bacterial SSU rRNA
Rfam family: Bacterial small subunit ribosomal RNA
Source: RNAcentral